RNAcentral lists this ribosomal RNA (516 nucleotides) under Triticum aestivum (bread wheat). Its description in RNAcentral is "partial small subunit ribosomal RNA". The record is from RNAcentral. Lineage: Eukaryota; Viridiplantae; Streptophyta; Magnoliopsida; Poales; Poaceae.
AUGCAAUCUUAUGAAGAAAAACUUGAGUUGAAAGUUUCUAUCCCUAGAAAACUCUAUGAUGAGUGGGUAUCUACUAUUAAAAUUAAAAUUAAAGAUUAUGAGUUUCAUGCUUUGUGUGAUUUGGGUGCUAGUGUCUCUACUAUUCCCAAAACUUUGUGUGAUUUGCUAGAUUUCCGUGACUUUGAUGAUUGCUCUCUAAACUUGCAUCUUGUGGAUUCCACUAUUAAAAAGCCUAUGGGAAGAAUUAAUCAUGUUCUUAUUGUUGCAAAUAGGAACUAUGUGCCCGUAGAUUUUAUCGUUCUUGAUAUAGAUUGCAAUCCUUCAUGUCCUAUUAUUCUUGGUAGACCUUUCCUUAGAAUGAUUGGUGCAAUUAUUGAUAUGAAGGAAUGGAAUAUUAGAUUCCAAUUUCCCUUAAAGAAGAGCAUGGAACACUUCCCUAGAAAGAAAAUAAAAUUACCAUAUGAAUCUAUCAUGAGAGCCACUUAUGGAUUGCCUACCAAAGAUGGCAAUACCUAG